This 447-nucleotide ribosomal RNA is filed under the name uncultured bacterium. RNAcentral describes it as "bacterial SSU rRNA". It matches the Rfam family "Bacterial small subunit ribosomal RNA", at positions 355 to 825 of the family's 1533-position model. The record is from RNAcentral.
UCGGGAAUUUUGGGCAAUGGGCGAAAGCCUGACCCAGCAACGCCGCGUGCAGGAUGAAGGCCUUCGGGUCGUAAACUGCUUUUAUGAGUGAUGAUUAAGACAGUAGCUCAAGAAUAAGGGUCGGCUAACUACGUGCCAGCAGCCGCGGUCAUACGUAGGACCCAAGCGUUAUCCGGAAUUACUGGGCGUAAAGGGCGCGUAGGCGGCAUGACAAGUCACUUGUGAAAUCUCUGGGCUUAACCCAGAACGGCCAAGUGAUACUGUCGCGCUAGAGUGCAGAAGGGGCAAUCGGAAUUCUUGGUGUAGCGGUGAAAUGCGUAGAUAUCAAGAGGAACACCUGAGGUGAAGACGGGUUGCUGGGCUGACACUGACGCUGAGGCGCGAAAGCCAGGGGAGCAAACGGGAUUAGAUACCCAGGUAGUCCCUGAGCGGGCUGGCAAGGCGCAU